AUUUCUAGAAUUGUGCAACUUAGAGUUUUGGUAUUAUAUGGCAUUGAUUCUCUUUGCUGGAUAUUUAAAGAAUGCAGAAGCUUCUGUGGAUGCCUUGUCCAUAUGCAUGAACAUAUUGGGCUAGACUGUCAUGGUAGCUUUUGGAUUCAAUGCAGCCAUAAGGUUAUUUUGGCAUACACAAAAACUACCAUAAUAUGUAAAUAAAAAAAAUAUUUAGUUAAUGAUUAAUUUGUUGGAAUGAUUUUUGUCCAGAAUGACCACUGAUUUAAAUUA
Non-coding RNA from Camellia sinensis, 273 nucleotides. NCBI's taxonomy places the organism in Eukaryota, Viridiplantae, Streptophyta, Magnoliopsida, Ericales, Theaceae. The record is from RefSeq and is a predicted model, not a curated record.